RNAcentral lists this transfer RNA (79 nucleotides) under Chlamydia pecorum. Its description in RNAcentral is "tRNA-Pro". It matches the Rfam family "tRNA". Rfam says of the family: Transfer RNA (tRNA) molecules are approximately 80 nucleotides in length. Their secondary structure includes four short double-helical elements and three loops (D, anti-codon, and T loops). The record is from RNAcentral. RNAcentral also lists the same sequence under 2 other names. Lineage: Bacteria; Pseudomonadati; Chlamydiota; Chlamydiia; Chlamydiales; Chlamydiaceae.
UCGGAGUAUAGCGCAGCCUGGUUAGCGCGGUUGCUUUGGGAGCAAUAGGUCGGGGGUUCGAAUCCCUCUACUCCGAGCC